RNAcentral lists this ribosomal RNA (511 nucleotides) under uncultured bacterium. RNAcentral's name for it is "bacterial SSU rRNA". It matches the Rfam family "Bacterial small subunit ribosomal RNA", at positions 29 to 528 of the family's 1533-position model. The record is from RNAcentral.
AGUGAACGCUGGCGGCAGGCCUAAUACAUGCAAGUCGAACGGCAGCACAGCAGAGCUUGCUCUGUGGGUGGCGAGUGGCGGACGGGUGAGGAAUACGUGGGAAUCUGCCCAGUCGUGGGGGAUAACGUAGGGAAACUUACGCUAAUACCGCAUGCGCCCUUCGGGGGAAAGCCGGGGACCUUCGGGCCUGGCGCGAUUGGAUGAGCCCACGUCGGAUUAGCUAGUUGGCGGGGUAAAGGCCCACCAAGGCGACGAUCCGUAGCUGGUCUGAGAGGAUGAUCAGCCCCACUGGAACUGAGACACGGUCCAGACUCCUACGGGAGGCAGCAGUAGGGAAUAUUGGACAAUGGGCGCAAGCCUGAUCCAGCCAUGCCGCGUGAGUGAAGAAGGCCCUCGGGUCGUAAAGCUCUUUUGUCCGGAAAGAAAAGCGCCGGGUUAAUACCCUGGUGUCCUGACGGUACCGGAAGAAUAAGCACCGGCUAACUUCGUGCCAGCAGCCGCGGUAAAGUAU